GCCAUAUGUCAUCGAUAUUUCAAUGGGUUGAUUAGUGUCACUAGCUACACCUAUGUAGAGGUGGAGCACACUACUAAUACGCGAUACUCAACACAUGAAUGUCUGCUUCAUACAAAUCUAUAUGAUCUCUUUGCAUUUCAUGCGUGCGGCUUGGGAGGCACCGGGAAUUCAAGAUGUGCCAAAGCAUUGCGUUGCACUUGAAAAAUGCAAAGCGGCCGUGGUGAUACAAAGGGAUCUUGCAUAUGUGUCAUUUUUUUUUCAUGUUGGACAUCUAGAUCACCUGUCCAUUUCUUCUUCUGGUGCCAAGGCUGAGAAGCAGCACCACUGGAUAUACUUGCAGAAGCUGAAAAUGAGCUUGCAACACAAGAGACAUUGACAAAUGCCAGGUGCCGAUCUGCCAAAACCGAGAAGCUUAACAAUGUUUACCUGCUUAAUUGAUUAGGCUGAAUUGGAAGGUGCCAUGAAUGUUAAAACCUGAAAGUUUGACAGGGCAACCGAUCCACAAUACUAGCUGAGCUCUUCCAUGGAUUUACACAAUGUUUUGCAGUCAUUAAUCCUUGCAUCAGGCGCUUCAUUAUUAAUAUGUCCAAGUGCUUCGAUGUUUUAUACAAAAAAACACAGAUAAACUGAAUUUUGAGGGUAAUGUCGACUGAAUGAUGUAUUUCUGCUGCUUGCCAAUUAAGCUACCUUUAUUUUCAGAUUUAGAAUGCCUUCUUAGUUCUCAAUCUACUUUUAGAC
Molecule: long non-coding RNA, 738 nt
Filed under: Hordeum vulgare
Lineage: Eukaryota; Viridiplantae; Streptophyta; Magnoliopsida; Poales; Poaceae
Description: long non-coding RNA (HVUL_LNC014777)
Source: RNAcentral